RNAcentral lists this ribosomal RNA (490 nucleotides) under uncultured bacterium. RNAcentral's name for it is "bacterial SSU rRNA". It matches the Rfam family "Bacterial small subunit ribosomal RNA", at positions 501 to 992 of the family's 1533-position model. The record is from RNAcentral.
CUACGUGCCAGCAGCCGCGGUAAUACGGAGGGUGCGAGCGUUAAUCGGAAUAACUGGGCGUAAAGGGCACGCAGGCGGUGACUUAAGUGAGGUGUGAAAGCCCCGGGCUUAACCUGGGAAUUGCAUUUCAUACCGGGUCGCUAGAGUACUUUAGGGAGGGGUAGAAUUCCACGUGUAGCGGUGAAAUGCGUAGAGAUGUGGAGGAAUACCGAAGGCGAAGGCAGCCCCUUGGGAAUGUACUGACGCUCAUGUGCGAAAGCGUGGGGAGCAAACAGGAUUAGAUACCCUGGUAGUCCACACUGUAAACGAUGUCGAUUUGGGGGUUGAACUUUGAGUUUGGCGCCCGUAGCUAACGUGAUAAAUCGACCGCCUGGGGAGUACGGCCGCAAGGUUAAAACUCAAAUGAAUUGACGGGGGCCCGCACAAGCGGUGGAGCAUGUGGUUUAAUUCGAUGCAACGCGAAGAACCUUACCUACUCUUGACAUCCAGA